GCAUCGACUCUGCGGACUCCUCGCCUCUCCCUGCUGGCUUUGGUGGUGGCACUGGUGCGCUGGCGGGGGGUGGGGGGACCUCGCAUUAGCUCCGGGUCUGUGGCAGAGCAGCAAUUGCAAUUCGGUGAUUGAUUUACUCGGGAGCACCAGAAAGCCCGACUAGCUCAGCAGCUCUUUAUGACAUCUGGCACACACUAACUUGCUUCCAGCUCGGCUCGUAGAGCUGGGCUCUGUCCUGCUUUGAAACUAGCCCCAGCUCCUCAAUUACCUUCUGCCCUUAUUCAUGCCCUGCCAAUUCCUCUUUGCUGGAAUCUGAAUGAAGCUACUGCAUCUGCCAAGGCCAAGAAGCUGCUGUAAGGACUUGUGGGGCUCGCCUUGGAAGUGAAGGUGGCAUUUAGAAUCAGGUUUCCCUGGUCUUAAAAAGAAGGUUGGCUGUUAUCUGACUUCUGGCUAAGCAACUUUUUUGGGUUUGGAAUGUGAUCAGCCAACUUGUUGCUCCUGCUCCCAUCCUAUACCUUCCUUAAAAUGGGCUCUAUCCCUCAGAAACAAUACAGGGAAGUCAAAUCUUCCCUAAGUUACUCUUGGUCAUCAUAUUUUUACCACAAUAGCAAAAGGAACUUGGCUGUUUGGGAAAGCAAGGGAACACUCAGUCGGGAUGUUUCUGGGAUCAAUCACAAUGGCCAGAGUGAAAACGUGUCUGUCGAUAUAGCGCCGGACUCCAUUUUCCACUCAGCAUCGAUGCGGAAAUGAAAGCUAAUGCACAUGGAACAUCUUACAGAAUAAACAAAUGAGAAAUUA
Mus musculus (house mouse) is the source of this 798-nucleotide long non-coding RNA. RefSeq annotates it as predicted gene, 31088. Lineage: Eukaryota; Metazoa; Chordata; Mammalia; Rodentia; Muridae. The transcript is spliced from 4 exons. The record is from RefSeq and is a predicted model, not a curated record.